CAGAAAACCAAAUGCCGCAUGUUCUCACUCAUAAGUGGGAGUUGAACAAUGAGAACACAUGGACAUAGGGAGGCAAGCAUCAUACACUGGGUCUGUCGGGGGACAAGGAGAGGAGGGACAUUGG
This is a long non-coding RNA of Sapajus apella (tufted capuchin), 124 nucleotides long. RefSeq lists it as uncharacterized. The transcript has 3 exons. The record is from RefSeq and is a predicted model, not a curated record. Lineage: Eukaryota; Metazoa; Chordata; Mammalia; Primates; Cebidae.